CUCACAACAUCUUUUUUUAUUUCGCUUUGGGACACUGAGUGGAGCUGCCACCAGAAACAGCUUUCAAAGCAUUCGAAAAAAACAUUUUUUAUUGCAUUCGAUUAGUAAAAAAGUGAGGUUAAAAAUUUGACAACUUGCGCUCUAAAGUAGCUACCGCGCAAGCUACAGAAAUACUUAAUAACAGAAUAUGACAUAAAAUUCGACAAAUACAAAAAGGUGGUCACAAUUUAUAUGUAUUUGAUAACAUUAAACCAGUUACACCCAAAAUGCACUAAUUAAUUAAAAAACAGUCAUUAAAUUGAUACUUUUCGAUCGUAAGAACGCUCGUCAAAAAUCCCGGUCUGUGCGUAAUAUAAUAUCUAAUAAUGUUUGCGUAUGAAAAUUUCAAGUUUUCUAAUUUUUAUGAAUAAUAAGAUCUUAUGAAACUAUUUAGACAAGUGAGCUUGAAGCAUUACAUCAUCUUACACUAAUUGUGGUUGACUUUUUUUUUAAAAAUCAGGCAGAACUUCUCCAUAGUUUGACACUUUGACAGUUGACAAAUAAUAUGAAAUCCAGUGGACCAUGGUUAAGAAGUUGAGAUCAAACAUAACCCUUACAGACUACAAACUUUUUGUGCAUAGAGGUAUUAAAGCCGACUUAUUAUACAAUUUAGGAUUAAGAUGGAAGAGGAAAUUACGGAUGAAGAAAUGGACGAAAUGUUGGAGGCACCACUACAAAGUAAAAUAACGACGUUACAGCCUUGCGUAAAAAGAAGCUUGAAUAUUUAUUAUUUUCGCGAAAUCAAAACACUGGUUGAUAAUUUGCCCCCAAAUAAAAAAGUAAAACUUGUGGGAAUGUAUAAAUACUGUGGAGGAAGCCAUUAUUUAACUUUUAAAGAUAAUUGUAAAGUAUUGUUAGACAUGUCAUGUGUUAAAACAUACCCGAUUUUUGAUACUUUUAUUGAAAUUCUUGGUAUUGUAAAAGUGCAAGAACCUAUGAUGGUCUUGGUCCAUUUUUUCGGACAGUUCCAAUACAACAUUCACGAAGUUGAACAAUAUUUGAAUAUUUUAAGAAAACUUGUGUCAAAAUAUUCUUUACAAUAAAUAUUUCUUUUUGUUUUUCA
Long non-coding RNA from Tribolium castaneum (red flour beetle), 1102 nucleotides. RefSeq lists it as uncharacterized. Lineage: Eukaryota; Metazoa; Arthropoda; Insecta; Coleoptera; Tenebrionidae. The record is from RefSeq and is a predicted model, not a curated record. The transcript has 2 exons.